GAUGAACGCUGGCGGCGUGCCUAAUACAUGCAAGUCGAGCGAACAGACGAGGAGCUUGCUCCUCUGACGUUAGCGGCGGACGGGUGAGUAACACGUGGAUAACCUACCUAUAAGACUGGGAUAACUUCGGGAAACCGGAGCUAAUACCGGAUAAUAUAUUGAACCGCAUGGUUCAAUAGUGAAAGACGGUUUUGCUGUCACUUAUAGAUGGAUCCGCGCCGCAUUAGCUAGUUGGUAAGGUAACGGCUUACCAAGGCAACGAUGCGUAGCCGACCUGAGAGGGUGAUAGGCCACACUAGAACUGAGACACGGUCCAGACUCCUACGGGAGGCAGCAGUAGGGAAUCUUCCGCAAUGGGCGAAAGCAUGACGGAGCAGCGCCGCGUGAGUGAUGAAGAUCUUCGGAUCGUAAAACUCUGUUAUUAGGGAAGAACAAAUGUGUAAGUAACUAUGCACGUCUUGACGGUACCUAAUCAGAAAGCAACGGCUAACUACGUG
RNAcentral lists this ribosomal RNA (497 nucleotides) under uncultured bacterium. RNAcentral describes it as "partial 16S ribosomal RNA". It matches the Rfam family "Bacterial small subunit ribosomal RNA", at positions 28 to 507 of the family's 1533-position model. The record is from RNAcentral.